Molecule: microRNA precursor, 150 nt
Filed under: Pteropus vampyrus (large flying fox)
Lineage: Eukaryota; Metazoa; Chordata; Mammalia; Chiroptera; Pteropodidae
Description: miRNA (ENSPVAG00000026273.1)
Source: RNAcentral
AAAGAAGAUAUCCAGUUAAAUUUGAGUUUUGGAUAAAUAAUAAUACAUUUUUGUAUAAGUAUACCUCAUGCAAUACUUGGGACAUACAUAUGCCAAAAAAUUGUUUGUUAUCCAUCUGAAAUUUAAAUUUAACUGGAUGGCCUGUAUUUU